UAGGGAAUCUUCGGCAAUGGACGAAAGUCUGACCGAGCAACGCCGCGUGAGUGAAGAAGGUUUUCGGAUCGUAAAACUCUGUUGUUAGAGAAGAACAAGGACGUUAGUAACUGAACGUCCCCUGACGGUAUCUAACCAGAAAGCCACGGCUAACUACGUGCCAGCAGCCGCGGUAAUACGUAGGUGGCAAGCGUUGUCCGGAUUUAUUGGGCGUAAAGCGAGCGCAGGCGGUUUCUUAAGUCUGAUGUGAAAGCCCCCGGCUCAACCGGGGAGGGUCAUUGGAAACUGGGAGACUUGAGUGCAGAAGAGGAGAGUGGAAUUCCAUGUGUAGCGGUGAAAAGCGUAGAUAUAUGGAGGAACACCAGUGGCGAAGGCGGCUCUCUGGUCUGUAACUGACGCUGAGGCGCGAAAGCGUGGGGAGCAAACAGG
Molecule: ribosomal RNA, 429 nt
Filed under: Gemmatimonadota bacterium
Lineage: Bacteria; Pseudomonadati; Gemmatimonadota
Description: Gemmatimonadetes bacterium partial 16S ribosomal RNA
Rfam family: Bacterial small subunit ribosomal RNA
Source: RNAcentral